This 751-nucleotide ribosomal RNA is filed under the name gamma proteobacterium 8.1.23_I. RNAcentral describes it as "bacterial SSU rRNA". It matches the Rfam family "Bacterial small subunit ribosomal RNA", at positions 18 to 760 of the family's 1533-position model. The record is from RNAcentral. Lineage: Bacteria; Pseudomonadati; Pseudomonadota; Gammaproteobacteria.
CAUGGCUCAGAUUGAACGCUGGCGGCAGGCCUAACACAUGCAAGUCGAACGGUAGCACAGAGAGCUUGCUCUCGGGUGACGAGUGGCGGACGGGUGAGUAAUGUCUGGGAAACUGCCUGAUGGAGGGGGAUAACUACUGGAAACGGUAGCUAAUACCGCAUAACGUCUUCGGACCAAAGUGGGGGACCUUCGGGCCUCACACCAUCGGAUGUGCCCAGAUGGGAUUAGCUAGUAGGUGGGGUAAUGGCUCACCUAGGCGACGAUCCCUAGCUGGUCUGAGAGGAUGACCAGCCACACUGGAACUGAGACACGGUCCAGACUCCUACGGGAGGCAGCAGUGGGGAAUAUUGCACAAUGGGCGCAAGCCUGAUGCAGCCAUGCCGCGUGUAUGAAGAAGGCCUUCGGGUUGUAAAGUACUUUCAGCGGGGAGGAAGGCGAUAAGGUUAAUAACCUUGUCGAUAGANGUUACCCGCAGAAGAAGCACCGGCUAACUCCGUGCCAGCAGCCGCGGUAAUACGGAGGGUGCAAGCGUUAAUCGGAAUUACUGGGCGUAAAGCGCACGCAGGCGGUCUGUCAAGUCAGAUGUGAAAUCCCCGGGCUUAACCUGGGAACUGCAUUUGAAACUGGCAGGCUAGAGUCUUGUAGAGGGGGGUAGAAUUCCAGGUGUAGCGGUGAAAUGCGUAGAGAUCUGGAGGAAUACCGGUGGCGAAGGCGGCCCCCUGGACAAAGACUGACGCUCAGGUGCGAAAGC